AUAUGUUCKGGGACGGAAGGAUUCRAACCUCCRAAUAGCGGGACCAAAACCCGAUGCCUUACC
RNAcentral lists this transfer RNA (63 nucleotides) under Anabasis eugeniae. RNAcentral describes it as "partial tRNA-Gln". RNAcentral also lists the same sequence under 1 other name. Lineage: Eukaryota; Viridiplantae; Streptophyta; Magnoliopsida; Caryophyllales; Amaranthaceae. The record is from RNAcentral.